Molecule: ribosomal RNA, 257 nt
Filed under: uncultured bacterium
Lineage: Bacteria
Description: partial small subunit ribosomal RNA
Rfam family: Bacterial small subunit ribosomal RNA
Source: RNAcentral
AGGACGAACGCUGGCGGCGUGCUUAACACAUGCAAGUCGAGCGGAAAGGCCCUUCGGGGUACUCGAGCGGCGAACGGGUGAGUAACACGUGAGCAACCUGCCCCUGGCUCUGGGAUAGCCUCCGGAAACGGGGAUUAAUACCGGACAUUCACUUCCUUCCGCAUGGUGGGUGGUGGAAAGUUUUUCGGCCGGGGAGGGCUCGCGGUCUAUCAGCUUGUUGGCGGGGUAACGGCCCACCAAGGCGACGACGGAUAGCC